This is a long non-coding RNA of Eptatretus burgeri (inshore hagfish), 1997 nucleotides long. The record is from Ensembl. NCBI's taxonomy places the organism in Eukaryota, Metazoa, Chordata, Myxini, Myxiniformes, Myxinidae.
GGAAUCUAAAUAACUUUCUCUGAUUCAACAUGUUUUGUGUGUUCGUGUAUUUCUUCCAGAAGUGGAGACGAUAUUCCCAGGAUAUCUGGGAAGGAGUGAGAAAACUCCUUCCGUUUCAGAGUUUGCGAGGAUAUUCGGUGGAGAUGUGGGAAAAGAUCGUAAACCUUCUUUCCAUUCUGAUUUUCCAGAUUGGUGCUGUCAAUGAAGGACUGAUGGAUUCAGUUCGCGAUGUCUUGGUCGUCACGAUUGCCAUCUUCUCAUUCGUUGCAAUCAUUCAUUUUAAACCAUUGCGCUGGUUCAACAAAAAGAGAAUCAAAAAAAAGUGCUCCUUCCACUGUUUUCGUCGUUGCCGGAAACAUCAACAGAAGAAAAAUGGAGAUGAAGAGCAGCUGCUGCUCAAGGAGCUGCAAGAAAACGAACGAUUGGAAAUGCAGAAAGCAAAGGAAGAAGAGGCUCUGAGAAUUGUAGAAAAACUGCAGCAAGAAAGUGAACAUAUGCACCAAAAAGAAGAAAGUGUAAAAGAAAGAGAGCUGUUAGUUCAGCUCAGAGAGAAAGAGGUGUUGGAAAAAGGUGCAAAACAAAAAUAUGAGGAAGAGUUAUGGAUCAAAAAGAAAGAAAAGUUUGAGAAAAUCAUGGAAGAACAGCAGAGUAAAAGCAAUAAAGACGACAUGAGAAAAAUAAAUGAGGAAGAGCAGAUCAGAAAGCGUGAAAAAGAGCUAAGGAAAAGAGAAGAGAAUGUUUACAAAAUGGAGAACAAGAUGCGCCAAAAAGAAGAGCAUUUAAAACAAAAAAUGCAAAUAAUUAACACAAUAGAGGAAGAGCUAUUAUGUAAACAGCGAGAAGCAGAUCAACGAGAACAAGAGAUUUGUGAUCGAGAAAAUAAGGUGUUUCGAUGUGAACAAAAGGUCUUGCAAGGUGAGAUGAAGGAUAAAAAGCGUAUGGAGCAGGAAGAACAGAUACAGCAAGAGCAGGAAGAAGAGAUACAGAGAAAGCAGGAAGACCAGAUGCAGAGUAAACAGGAGGAACAGAUUCAGGGUAAACAGGAAGUACAGACACGGAGUAAACAGGAAGAGCAGAUUCAGAGUAAACAGGAAGACCAGAUGCAGAGUAAACAGGAGGAACAGAUUCAGGGUAAACAGGAAGAACAGAUUCAGGGUAAACAGGAAGAACAGAUUCAGGGUAAACAGGAAGAACAGAUUCAGGGUAAACAGGGAGAACAGAUUCAGAGUAAACAGGAAGACCAGAUGCAGAGUAAACAGGAGGAACAGAUUCAGGGUAAACAGGAAGAACAGAUUCAGGGUAAACAGGAAGAACAGAUACAGAGUAAACAGGAAGAACAGAUACGGAAAGAACAGACACAGAGUAAACAGGAAGAACAGACACGGAGUAAACAGGAAGAACAGAUAUGGAAAGAACAGACACGGGGUAAACAGGAAGAACAGAUAUGGAAAGAACAGACACGGGGUAAACAGGAAGAACAGAUACUGAAAGAACAGACACGGGGUAAACAGGAAGAACAGAUACGGAAAGAACAGACACGGGGUAAACAGGAAGAACAGAUACGGAAAGAACGGGCAGAACAGAACCAGAGAGAUGACGAAGAAGGGAAUAGACUUCUGUGCACAUUGUUUUCACAGAAUGAAAGAGUAGUGACAUACAAAAGUGCGAGAAAUGAAGAGAAACCCCACGGUGGUGACAGGCAAUACUAUCAGCAACAGAGGCCUCACUAUGAGCACAGGAAUCAGUGGCAGCAACAAAACAAACCCCAUGGUGGUGACAGGCGAUACCAUCAGCAACAGAGGCCUUACCAUGAUGACAGGAAUCAAUGGCAGCAACAAAACAAAUUCCAUGGUGGUGUCAGUCAUUACUAUCAGGAACAGAGGCCUUACCAUGAGAACAGAAAUCAGUGGCAGCAGCAACAAAAACCCCAUGGUGGUGACAAGCGAUACCAUCAGCAACAGAAUCCUCACCAUGGGUCCAGAAUGCAGCGGUUUUGA